This 445-nucleotide ribosomal RNA is filed under the name uncultured bacterium. Its description in RNAcentral is "partial 16S ribosomal RNA". It matches the Rfam family "Bacterial small subunit ribosomal RNA", at positions 354 to 796 of the family's 1533-position model. The record is from RNAcentral.
GUGAGGAAUAUUGCGCAAUGGAGGCAACUCUGACGCAGCCAUGCCGCGUGCAGGAAGAAGGCGCUACGCGUUGUAAACUGCUUUUAACCGGGAAGAAACCCCAGGACGUGUCCUGGGUUGACGGUACCGGAGGAAUAAGCACCGGCUAACUUCGUGCCAGCAGCCGCGGGAAUACGAAGGGUGCAAGCGUUAUCCGGAUUCAUUGGGUUUAAAGGGUGCGUAGGCGGAGCGUUAAGUCAGUGGUGAAAUCCUGCAGCUUAACUGUAGACUUGCCAUUGAUACUGGCGCUCUUGAGUGCGCUUGAAGUGGGCGGAAUGUGCCGUGUAGCGGUGAAAUGCUUAGAUAUGGCACAGAACACCAAUUGCGAAGGCAGCUCACUAAGGCGAUACUGACGCUGAGGCACGAAAGCGUGGGGAUCGAACAGGAUUAGAAACCCUGGUAGUCC